GGAUAGCUCAGUUGGUUAGAGCGUGGUGCUGAUAACGCCAAGGUUGCAGGUUGGAUUCCCGUCUGGGACA
This is a non-coding RNA of Podarcis lilfordi (Lilford's wall lizard), 70 nucleotides long. The record is from the annotation of a GenBank genome assembly. Lineage: Eukaryota; Metazoa; Chordata; Lepidosauria; Squamata; Lacertidae.